RNAcentral lists this ribosomal RNA (253 nucleotides) under uncultured bacterium. RNAcentral's name for it is "partial 16S ribosomal RNA". It matches the Rfam family "Bacterial small subunit ribosomal RNA", at positions 524 to 776 of the family's 1533-position model. The record is from RNAcentral.
UACGUAGGUGGCGAGCGUUGUCCGGAAUGACUGGGCGUAAAGGGAGCGUAGGUUGCAAAUUAAGUUAGAUGUGAAAGCCCAAGGCUCAACCUUGGAAUUGCAUUUAAAACUGGUUAGCUAGAGUACAGGAGGGGUAAGCGGAAUUCCUAGUGUAGCGGUAAAAUGCGUAGAUAUUAGGAGGAACACCGGAGGCGAAGGCGGCUUACUGGACUGCAACUGACACUGAGGCUCGAAAGCGUGGGGAGCAAACAGG